This 253-nucleotide ribosomal RNA is filed under the name uncultured bacterium. RNAcentral describes it as "partial 16S ribosomal RNA". It matches the Rfam family "Bacterial small subunit ribosomal RNA", at positions 524 to 776 of the family's 1533-position model. The record is from RNAcentral.
UACGUAGGGUCCAAGCGUUAAUCGGAAUUACUGGGCGUAAAGCGUGCGCAGGCGGCUUUGCAAGUCAGACGUGAAAUCCCCGGGCUUAACCUGGGAAUGGCGCUUGAAACUACGGAGCUGGAGUGUGGCAGAGGGAGGUAGAAUUCCACGUGUAGCGGUGAAAUGCGUAGAUAUGUGGAGGAAUACCGAUGGCGAAGGCAGCCUCCUGGGCCAACACUGACGCUCAUGCACGAAAGCGUGGGGAGCAAACAGG